RNAcentral lists this ribosomal RNA (396 nucleotides) under uncultured bacterium. Its description in RNAcentral is "partial 16S ribosomal RNA". It matches the Rfam family "Bacterial small subunit ribosomal RNA", at positions 360 to 773 of the family's 1533-position model. The record is from RNAcentral.
AAUAUUGCACAAUGGGGGAACCCCUGAUGCAGCAACGCCGCGUGAGCGAUGAAGGCCUUCGGGUCGUAAAGCUCUGUCCUAAGGGAAGAAAUUUGACGGUACGUUAGGAGGAAGCCCCGGCUAACUAAGUGCCAGCAGCCGCGGUAAUACGUAGGGGGCGAGGGUUAUACGGAAUUACUGCGCGUAAAGGGUGCGUAGGCGGCCUUUUAAGUCAGAUGUGAAAGGCUACGGCUUAACCGUAGUUAGCAUUUGAAACUAGAAGGCUUGAGUGCAGGAGAGGAGGGUGGAAUUCCUAGUGUAGCGGUGAAAAGCGUAGAUAUUAGGAGGAACACCAGUGGCGAAGGAGACUCUCUGGACUGCAACUAACGCUGAGGCACGAAAGCGUGGGGAGCAAAC